This 553-nucleotide ribosomal RNA is filed under the name Aureobasidium pullulans. Its description in RNAcentral is "eukaryotic LSU rRNA". It matches the Rfam family "Eukaryotic large subunit ribosomal RNA", at positions 66 to 634 of the family's 3401-position model. The record is from RNAcentral. Lineage: Eukaryota; Fungi; Ascomycota; Dothideomycetes; Dothideales; Saccotheciaceae.
CAACAGGGAUUGCCCUAGUAACGGCGAGUGAAGCGGCAACAGCUCAAAUUUGAAAGCUAGCCUUCGGGUUCGCAUUGUAAUUUGUAGAGGAUGAUUUGGGGAAGCCGCCUGUCUAAGUUCCUUGGAACAGGACGUCAUAGAGGGUGAGAAUCCCGUAUGUGACAGGAAAUGGCACCCUAUGUAAAUCUCCUUCGACGAGUCGAGUUGUUUGGGAAUGCAGCUCUAAAUGGGAGGUAAAUUUCUUCUAAAGCUAAAUAUUGGCGAGAGACCGAUAGCGCACAAGUAGAGUGAUCGAAAGAUGAAAAGCACUUUGGAAAGAGAGUUAAAAAGCACGUGAAAUUGUUGAAAGGGAAGCGCUUGCAAUCAGACUUGUUUAAACUGUUCGGCCGGUCUUCUGACCGGUUUACUCAGUUUGGACAGGCCAGCAUCAGUUUCGGCGGCCGGAUAAAGGCUCUGGGAAUGUGGCCUCCACUUCGGUGGAGGUGUUAUAGCCCAGGGUGUAAUACGGCCAGCCGGGACUGAGGUCCGCGCUUCGGCUAGGAUGCUGGCGUAA